RNAcentral lists this long non-coding RNA (260 nucleotides) under Anas platyrhynchos (mallard). RNAcentral describes it as "lncRNA (ENSAPLG00020001102.1)". The record is from RNAcentral. Lineage: Eukaryota; Metazoa; Chordata; Aves; Anseriformes; Anatidae.
GCGAUCGGCAGCAUCGAGCUGGACGGCUCCCACUUCCGAGUGGUGCGGGAGGGGCUGCACGGCCUCUCGCUCUUUGCCAUCGGAGACGGCUUUCUGCUCUGGACCACGGCCUCAACGAAUGGCUCCAGCAAGGUCUGGCACAGCCGACUGGAGCAGGCCAAGAGCUGGUGGUUCCCCAUGGAGCAGGAGCUGGUAGCCUUGAGGAUUUACAGCCAGAUCUCACAAGAAGGCACCCACGGCUGUGCGAAGAGCAACGGGGG